This 69-nucleotide transfer RNA is filed under the name Duttaphrynus melanostictus (Asian common toad). RNAcentral's name for it is "tRNA-His". It matches the Rfam family "tRNA". Rfam says of the family: Transfer RNA (tRNA) molecules are approximately 80 nucleotides in length. Lineage: Eukaryota; Metazoa; Chordata; Amphibia; Anura; Bufonidae. The record is from RNAcentral.
GUGAACAUAGUUUAUAAAAAAUUCUAGUCUGUGACCCUAGAGAAGGGAGUUAACAGCUCCCUGUUCACC